GAAGAUUCUCAUACUUAGAAAAGACCUACGCUAUACAGAUAUUCUAUGACAGAGGAAUACUUCAAUUAUUGAUAUCAUAGACUGAGGAUAAUCAGGUGGAUCCGUGAGAAAUUACUCUUUUGUUUUGUUUUGUUUUUUUAAUUUUUCAGCCUUAAAGAAGGAGAGGACCAGAAAGAGAUAAAGAUUGAGCCAGCUCAGGCUGUGGAUGAAGUGGAACCUCUACCUGAAGACUAUUAUACAAGACCAGUAAAUUUAACAGAGGUAACCACCCUUCAGCAGCGUCUGUUACAGCCUGACUUCCAGCCAGUCUGUGCUUCACAGCUCUAUCCUCGCCACAAACAUCUUCUGAUCAAACGGUCCCUGCGCUGCCGUAAAUGUGAACAUAAUUUGAGCAAGCCAGAAUUUAACCCAACGUCAAUCAAAUUCAAAAUCCAGCUGGUCGCUGUCAAUUAUAUUCCAGAAGUGAGAAUCAUGUCAAUUCCCAACCUUCGCUACAUGAAGGAGAGCCAGGUCCUCCUGACUCUUACGAAUCCAGUUGAGAACCUCACCCAUGUGACUCUCUUGGAGUGUGAGGAGGGGGACCCUGAUGAUAUCAACAGCACUGCUAAG
This 609-nucleotide small RNA is filed under the name Pan troglodytes (chimpanzee). RNAcentral describes it as "retained intron". The record is from RNAcentral. Lineage: Eukaryota; Metazoa; Chordata; Mammalia; Primates; Hominidae.